AUGGGUAGGACAGGAUUUCAAGGAAAGCAACACCCAUUUGCCAGCAUGAAGGUUUCGGCGUUUUUCUCCGCCUUCUGUGGCGUCGGGCUCCUCCUAGCUCUCAAUGCUGCCAGCGUGGAGUGUGCUCGGCACACGUCGUACACGCCGCAAACCUUGUUCGUGUUCGGGGAUUCGUUCGCCGACACUGGGAACCUUCCGCCAACGAAGGGCAACUUUGAGAUGUCGCGCCAAUGGAAGGCUCCCUAUGGCAUGUCAAACAGAGUCGACGGAUCGGGUCGGCGGCAACAACAUGCAACCGGCCGCUUCUCCAACUUCAUGGUUCAAUCCGAUUUCAUCGCGAAGAUGCUGGGUCUUCCCCAGUCCCCUCCGACAUACCUUAGCACGCCAGAUCUCCACUGCGACCCGUCGGGCAUGAACUUUGCCUUUUAUGGCGCCGGCAUGUUCCGCUUUCCCGGAGAGAUGAUGAUGAUGAGCGUUAGCGAGCAGGUCGACGUAUUCGAGAGCAUGAUCAAAGCCGGAACUAUCUCGCAUAACCACGUAACUCACUCUGUCGCACUCCUCGCCGUCUCUGGCACCGACUACAACCGCUUCAACGUCAGCGGCUUCAGCUCCGCGACCGAUUGCGUCGAGAAAGAGACGACCGAGAUCGUUGCGAUCACCCAGCGGCUGCAAAACCUUGGAGUGAAGAAGAUUCUGGUGAACAAUCUGCAGCCUCUAGGCUGCACUCCAUUCUGGUGCAGGCCGACCCUCUACCACGAGUGCGACGAGUUUGGCAAUGUCAUUGCGCUCGUGCACAAUAAAAAGCUGAAACAUAAGCUGUCAAGGAACAAAGGUAUCUUCAUAGUCGAUAUGUACACCGCCUUCAACAACAUCAUCGCUGACCAUGGUUCGAAGUCGUACAAGCAGUUUGAGGCGGGGCGGAAGCCGUGCUGCGAGGGCUAUGGUCCUAGGGUCUACUGUGGAGAGCAGCAUCCUCACACGGACUAUCUUUUCUAUCUGUGCAAGGACCCAAGCAAACGUUUCUUCUGGGACGAUACUCAUCCCACACAUGCCGGCUGGGAGGCCGUUAUGAAGCAGCUUGAACCAUCAAAGAGUUCUUAG
This 1101-nucleotide ribosomal RNA is filed under the name Triticum aestivum (bread wheat). Its description in RNAcentral is "partial small subunit ribosomal RNA". The record is from RNAcentral. Lineage: Eukaryota; Viridiplantae; Streptophyta; Magnoliopsida; Poales; Poaceae.